GGCCCCAUGUCCAGAAGCUGAAGAGUUUGGGUCUCAUCAUCCAAAAGGCAUCUCCAGGGCAGCGAUUCAAUUUUGCUCCUUUCCCUCCUGUGCACCAAAAGCAUCUCCCAGGCGGUCCUGCAGCGCUCCCUUUGCCUCUUCUGAGAUGCCUCCUGAGAAAGCAAGAUGCAACGGUUGCUCCUCCCAGAAAUCUCAGUGAGCUCCAGCUGGGAGAGCUGUGCCCUCUUCCCUCAGCGCUUGAUACCCAUCUCCAUCACUUUGCCAUCCUACUCUUCAUCGUGGAUCUUCCUCCAUGCUUAGGAGCCCAAGUCAGCAGCUGGGAGAUGCUUCUCCCCAUACAAUCAACACACUUUCCCCACCUCCCAUGUUGGGUAUUACCCAUAGUGGACUGAAAAAUUACUUCUGG
This 406-nucleotide long non-coding RNA is filed under the name Pavo cristatus (Indian peafowl). RNAcentral's name for it is "lncRNA (ENSPSTG00000014497.1)". The record is from RNAcentral. Lineage: Eukaryota; Metazoa; Chordata; Aves; Galliformes; Phasianidae.